Molecule: ribosomal RNA, 574 nt
Filed under: uncultured prokaryote
Description: bacterial SSU rRNA
Rfam family: Bacterial small subunit ribosomal RNA
Source: RNAcentral
AGAGUUUGAUCCUGNNUCAGGAUGAACGCUAGCGACAGGCCUAACACAUGCAAGUCGAGGGGUAGCACAGAAUAGCUUGCUAUUUGGGUGACGACCGGCGCACGGGUGAGUAACGCGUAUGCAACCUGCCUAUAAGAGGGGGAUAGCCUUUCGAAAGAAAGAUUAAUACCGCAUAAUACUAUUUACCUGCAUGGGUAAAUAGUUAAACUAUUUGGCUUAUAGACGGGCAUGCGUUCCAUUAGAUAGUUGGUGAGGUAACGGCUCACCAAGUCAGCGAUGGAUAGGGGUUCUGAGAGGAAGGUCCCCCACACUGGUACUGAGACACGGACCAGACUCCUACGGGAGGCAGCAGUGAGGAAUAUUGGUCAAUGGGCGAGAGCCUGAACCAGCCAAGUCGCGUGAAGGAUGAAGGUCUUAUGUAUUGUAAACUUCUUUUGUCAGGGAAUAAUGNGUGUCACGUGUGACGCAGAGGAAUGUACCUGACGAAUAAGCAUCGGCUAACUCCGUGCCAGCAGCCGCGGUAAUACGGAGGAUGCGAGCGUUAUCCGGAUUUAUUGGGNUUAAAGGGUGCGUA